This 2899-nucleotide ribosomal RNA is filed under the name Klebsiella pneumoniae. RNAcentral's name for it is "bacterial LSU rRNA". It matches the Rfam family "Bacterial large subunit ribosomal RNA". The record is from RNAcentral. Lineage: Bacteria; Pseudomonadati; Pseudomonadota; Gammaproteobacteria; Enterobacterales; Enterobacteriaceae.
UUAAGCGACUAAGCGUACACGGUGGAUGCCCUGGCAGUCAGAGGCGAUGAAGGACGUGCUAAUCUGCGAAAAGCGUCGGUAAGGUGAUAUGAACCGUUAUAACCGGCGAUGUCCGAAUGGGGAAACCCAGUGCAAUUCGUUGCACUAUCGUUAACUGAAUACAUAGGUUAACGAGGCGAACCGGGGGAACUGAAACAUCUAAGUACCCCGAGGAAAAGAAAUCAACCGAGAUUCCCCCAGUAGCGGCGAGCGAACGGGGAGCAGCCCAGAGUCUGAAUCAGCUUGUGUGUUAGUGGAACGGUCUGGAAAGUCCGACGGUACAGGGUGAUAGUCCCGUACACCAAAAUGCACAGGUUGUGAACUCGAAGAGUAGGGCGGGACACGUGGUAUCCUGUCUGAAUAUGGGGGGACCAUCCUCCAAGGCUAAAUACUCCUGACUGACCGAUAGUGAACCAGUACCGUGAGGGAAAGGCGAAAAGAACCCCGGCGAGGGGAGUGAAAAAGAACCUGAAACCGUGUACGUACAAGCAGUGGGAGCACCUUCGGGUGUGACUGCGUACCUUUUGUAUAAUGGGUCAGCGACUUAUAUUCUGUAGCAAGGUUAACCGUAUAGGGGAGCCGCAGGGAAACCGAGUCUUAACUGGGCGUUAAGUUGCAGGGUAUAGACCCGAAACCCGGUGAUCUAGCCAUGGGCAGGUUGAAGGUUGGGUAACACUAACUGGAGGACCGAACCGACUAAUGUUGAAAAAUUAGCGGAUGACUUGUGGCUGGGGGUGAAAGGCCAAUCAAACCGGGAGAUAGCUGGUUCUCCCCGAAAGCUAUUUAGGUAGCGCCUCGUGAACUCAUCUUCGGGGGUAGAGCACUGUUUCGGCUAGGGGGUCAUCCCGACUUACCAACCCGAUGCAAACUACGAAUACCGAAGAAUGUUAUCACGGGAGACACACGGCGGGUGCUAACGUCCGUCGUGAAGAGGGAAACAACCCAGACCGCCAGCUAAGGUCCCAAAGUCAUGGUUAAGUGGGAAACGAUGUGGGAAGGCACAGACAGCCAGGAUGUUGGCUUAGAAGCAGCCAUCAUUUAAAGAAAGCGUAAUAGCUCACUGGUCGAGUCGGCCUGCGCGGAAGAUGUAACGGGGCUAAACCAUGCACCGAAGCUGCGGCAGCGACACUAUGUGUUGUUGGGUAGGGGAGCGUUCUGUAAGCCUGCGAAGGUGUGCUGUGAGGCAUGCUGGAGGUAUCAGAAGUGCGAAUGCUGACAUAAGUAACGAUAAAGCGGGUGAAAAGCCCGCUCGCCGGAAGACCAAGGGUUCCUGUCCAACGUUAAUCGGGGCAGGGUGAGUCGACCCCUAAGGCGAGGCCGAAAGGCGUAGUCGAUGGGAAACAGGUUAAUAUUCCUGUACUUGGUGUUACUGCGAAGGGGGGACGGAGAAGGCUAUGUUAGCCGGGCGACGGUUGUCCCGGUUUAAGCAUGUAGGCUGGUUAUCCAGGCAAAUCCGGAUAAUCAAGGCUGAGGUGUGAUGACGAGGCACUACGGUGCUGAAGUAACAAAUGCCCUGCUUCCAGGAAAAGCCUCUAAGCAUCAGGUAACAUCAAAUCGUACCCCAAACCGACACAGGUGGUCAGGUAGAGAAUACCAAGGCGCUUGAGAGAACUCGGGUGAAGGAACUAGGCAAAAUGGUGCCGUAACUUCGGGAGAAGGCACGCUGGUGUGUAGGUGAAGUCCCUGCGGAUGGAGCUGAGACCAGUCGAAGAUACCAGCUGGCUGCAACUGUUUAUUAAAAACACAGCACUGUGCAAACACGAAAGUGGACGUAUACGGUGUGACGCCUGCCCGGUGCCGGAAGGUUAAUUGAUGGGGUUAUCCGUAAGGAGAAGCUCUUGAUCGAAGCCCCGGUAAACGGCGGCCGUAACUAUAACGGUCCUAAGGUAGCGAAAUUCCUUGUCGGGUAAGUUCCGACCUGCACGAAUGGCGUAAUGAUGGCCAGGCUGUCUCCACCCGAGACUCAGUGAAAUUGAACUCGCUGUGAAGAUGCAGUGUACCCGCGGCAAGACGGAAAGACCCCGUGAACCUUUACUAUAGCUUGACACUGAACAUUGAGCCUUGAUGUGUAGGAUAGGUGGGAGGCUUUGAAGCGUGGACGCCAGUCUGCGUGGAGCCAACCUUGAAAUACCACCCUUUAAUGUUUGAUGUUCUAACGUUGGCCCCUGACCGGGGUUGCGGACAGUGUCUGGUGGGUAGUUUGACUGGGGCGGUCUCCUCCCAAAGCGUAACGGAGGAGCACGAAGGUUAGCUAAUCCUGGUCGGACAUCAGGAGGUUAGUGCAAUGGCAUAAGCUAGCUUGACUGCGAGCGUGACGGCGCGAGCAGGUGCGAAAGCAGGUCAUAGUGAUCCGGUGGUUCUGAAUGGAAGGGCCAUCGCUCAACGGAUAAAAGGUACUCCGGGGAUAACAGGCUGAUACCGCCCAAGAGUUCAUAUCGACGGCGGUGUUUGGCACCUCGAUGUCGGCUCAUCACAUCCUGGGGCUGAAGUAGGUCCCAAGGGUAUGGCUGUUCGCCAUUUAAAGUGGUACGCGAGCUGGGUUUAGAACGUCGUGAGACAGUUCGGUCCCUAUCUGCCGUGGGCGCUGGAGAAUUGAGGGGGGCUGCUCCUAGUACGAGAGGACCGGAGUGGACGCAUCACUGGUGUUCGGGUUGUCAUGCCAAUGGCACUGCCCGGUAGCUAAAUGCGGAAGAGAUAAGUGCUGAAAGCAUCUAAGCACGAAACUUGCCCCGAGAUGAGUUCUCCCUGAGACUUUAAGUCUCCUGAAGGAACGUUGAAGACGACGACGUUGAUAGGCCGGGUGUGUAAGCGCAGCGAUGCGUUGAGCUAACCGGUACUAAUGAACCGUGAGGCUUAACCU